This 464-nucleotide ribosomal RNA is filed under the name uncultured bacterium. Its description in RNAcentral is "partial 16S ribosomal RNA". It matches the Rfam family "Bacterial small subunit ribosomal RNA", at positions 28 to 506 of the family's 1533-position model. The record is from RNAcentral.
GACGAACGCUGGCGGCGUGCUUAACACAUGCAAGUCGAACGCUGAACCCGCUUCGGUGGGGGAUGAGUGGCGAACGGGUGAGUAGCACGUGGGCAACCUGCCCCCGGCUCUGGGAUAACUCCAAGAAAUUGGGGCUAAUACCGGAUGUGACCGCUGGCCGCAUGGUCUGGUGGUGGAAAGGGUUUCCGGCUGGGGAUGGGCCCGCGGCCUAUCAGCUUGUUGGUGGGGUAGUGGCCUACCAAGGCGACGACGGGUAGCCGGCCUGAGAGGGUGACCGGCCACACUGGGACUGAGACACGGCCCAGACUCCUACGGGAGGCAGCAGUGGGGAAUAUUGCGCAAUGGGCGGAAGCCUGACGCAGCGACGCCGCGUGGGGGAUGACGGCCUUCGGGUUGUAAACCUCUUUCAGCAGGGACGAAGCGCAAGUGACGGUACCUGCAGAAGAAGCACCGGCCAACUACGU